UUGAACGCUGGCGGAAUGCUUUACACAUGCAAGUCGAGCGGCAGCGCGGGGGCAACCCUGGGGGCGAGCGGCGAACGGGUGAGUAACACAUCGGAACGUACCCAGUUGUGGGGGAUAGCCCGGCGAAAGCCGGAUUAAUACCGCAUACGACCUGAGGGUGAAAGCGGGGGACCGUAAGGCCUCGCGCGAUAGGAGCGGCCGAUAUCGGAUUAGCUAGUUGGUGAGGUAAAGGCUCACCAAGGCGACGAUCCGUAGCGGGUCUGAGAGGACGACCCGCCACACUGGAACUGAGACACGGUCCAGACUCCUACGGGAGGCAGCAGUGGGGAAUUUUGGACAAUGGGGGCAACCCUGAUCCAGCCAUUCCGCGUGAGUGAAGAAGGCCUUCGGGUUGUAAAGCUCUUUCAGCAGGAACGAAACGGUGGUCCUUAAUACGGGCUACUAAUGACGGUACCUGAAGAAGAAGCACCGGCUAACUACGU
RNAcentral lists this ribosomal RNA (482 nucleotides) under uncultured bacterium. RNAcentral describes it as "bacterial SSU rRNA". It matches the Rfam family "Bacterial small subunit ribosomal RNA", at positions 29 to 506 of the family's 1533-position model. The record is from RNAcentral.